Molecule: ribosomal RNA, 460 nt
Filed under: uncultured bacterium
Lineage: Bacteria
Description: partial 16S ribosomal RNA
Rfam family: Bacterial small subunit ribosomal RNA
Source: RNAcentral
CCUACGGGAGGCAGCAGUGAGGAAUAUUGGUCAAUGGACGAGAGUCUGAACCAGCCAAGUAGCGUGAAGGAUGACUGCCCUAUGGGUUGUAAACUUCUUUUAUAUGGGAAUAAAAUGUUCCACGUGUGGGAUUUUGUAUGUACCAUAUGAAUAAGGAUCGGCUAACUCCGUGCCAGCAGCCGCGGUAAUACGGAGGAUCCGAGCGUUAAACGGAUUUAUUGGGUUUAAAGGGAGCGUAGGUGGAUUGUUAAGUCAGUUGUGAAAGUUUGCGGCUCAACCGUAAAAUUGCAGUUGAAACUGGCAGUCUUGAGUACAGUAGUGGUGGGCGGCAUUCGUGGUGUAGCGGUGAAAUGCUUAGAUAUCACGAAGAACUCCGAUUGCGAAGGCAGUUCACUGGACUGCAACUGACACUGAGGCUCGAAAGUGUGGGUAUCAAACAGGAUUAGAUACCCGUGUAGUC